CUCUAACAGCCAUCUUGCCUCAUCUUCCUGAGGGAGCUCUGUCCCAUGAUCCGGUCGCCAGCUACCCAUGCCCGUGAUUUUCCUGUGGGCUUAGAGGCACAGGAACAACAAAAAAUGGCAGAGGGGAGACAGAAGGCACCCGAGGUAUUGUCUUCAUCUGGUUCUUCUUCUGGGCCACCACCAAAGCUGUUGCUGGGGACCGAGAGCACUCCUGGUUCACUUUUUCUGACAUCUUCUGAGGCAUCUGGAGCAUCGUGGACAUGGUCCAGCUAUUUUCUUUUGCAGCUGCAGGAAACAUCAGGUUGAGCUGUAUGAGCUGGUGUGGCAUGCUAUUUCGGGAAAAUCUGACAAAGGGUCUAGGGUUUAUUUUGGAACAUGCCUUUUGAGAUAAGGGGUAGAAGUUUCCCUGAAGAACCCAUGGCUGGAAUGAAGGGAGAGACCCUUCCAUGUUUGUCCCAGGGCUGAAUGAAGGCUACAUCCUAGGGUCUUCGGGCCCCUUCCCUGAUUGUCCUAAGUUUUUGAUUGCUGAGUCCCUCUGCUGCUUUGCUGUCCUAUUCAUACUCUCUUUGAGAGUUGUCAACAUGCCUUGCUCUGUCAAGGACCCUGGCACAUGUGAGUGUUGUGGGACACACGGUGGUGAUAUUUGCUCCUCUCUCACCUCACAUGGACGUGACUUUACACACUCUGAUAUGAGUGUAUGGGAAACAGACAGUGUGGACUUCCCUGAUCGACUUGCCUACAGAUGAGGCAGCAUCUACAGAUCCUGAAACUCAUAUUUGGAAGUGGUACCCUGAGGUGACCCCGUAUCUCCCACAGUGUUACUGGAGGUUCAGAGGACCUGAGGACAUUGGAAUCUCCCAAUCAGCUUUGCUGGGAAAACCAAGUGGAAUUGGCAAUCACUCACAGCAUUUAGAAGCUCAGCUGACCUGAAUGAAAGCUCAGGACACAUCCAGGUGAAAAAUGAAAUUGCUUUGCCUUGUUGCAAUCCUCACAUAUUUCUACUCCAUUCCCUAUAACCAUUUCUUAAUCAGAAGGAAAAAUGCAAGCAGAUACAUUAUGUAAGACAGUGGACUAAGGACUGGGCACCGGGUAGAGGCCAUUUAAUUAAAAGGUGUAAGAUGAAUAGGCUGUAAAAUUCAGCUAGUCCCAUAUAAAAAGAGUUGGUUUAGCAGAAUUGAAUGAUGAUCCAAGUUAACACAUGUGAAUUUCUGGAAGAGAGAAAAACAGCUUUGUAAUCUUAUUACCUUUGCUUUUACUUUUAUUGUGCUUCACAUUCAAGAUUACAGGCUAAGGAAAAAUUUUUUUUAAAUUGAAGAAAGGAAGGAAGAAUGGAAAGGACAGAUGAAAGGAAGAAAGACAGCAGUCAUAUAAGUAUGUAGUUGCAGAUUACGAUCAGAGAAUAUUAUGUUUGUUUAGUAUUAAGUGCCCAUCAGCAUAUAUCUUAAUAAUUUUCAAACUGUUUCACUAGUGAUUAGGAACAACAAAUGUCUGGACUGUGGCUUCAAAAUAGCUUAUCCCAGAUUUAUGACAACAAAGAAGAAUUUUGCGAUGUUUGCUAGGGGGCAUUGUGAGGCCAUCUUUGCCUUGUUUGUUCCUUUGAGUUGUUAGUGGUUGGUCCAUUUUAAUUAUCUGUGUUUCUGUGAGACAUGAAGUAUUACACUGUUAAUUAUGGAGUUUUCAGCCUCAUAAUGGUUUUUGUCUAACUACUUUGACUCCACGUAUUUCCUGUGCCCUUCAAAUUUCUAUGUUUUCUGGUGGGAUUUGGGUAAAUUGAAAACAUUAGAUUAUAGUGGGGGCUUCAUCUGGGAAAUGUAACUGAAUCCCACCUCCACUAUGAAGAGAGACAUUCAGGGGUGCCUGAGUGGCUCAGUAGGUUAAGUGUCCAACUUCAGCUCAGGUUAUGUUCUCAUGGUUGGUGGGUUCGAGCCCCACGUUGGGUUCUGUGCUGACAGCUUAGAGCCUGGAGGCUGCUUCAGAUUCUGUGCCUCCCUCUCUCUCUGCCCCUCCCCUGCUCAUGCUCUGUUUCUCUCUCUCUUUCUCGUUCUCAAAAAUAA
Long non-coding RNA from Acinonyx jubatus (cheetah), 2054 nucleotides. RefSeq lists it as uncharacterized. The transcript has 3 exons. The record is from RefSeq and is a predicted model, not a curated record. NCBI's taxonomy places the organism in Eukaryota, Metazoa, Chordata, Mammalia, Carnivora, Felidae.